AAACGCGCUUGAGAGAACUCAGGAGAAGGAACUCGGCAAAUUAGUACCGUAACUUCGGGAUAAGGUACGCCCCUAGUAGGUGAAAGUGUACAACUGGAGCCGAAUGGGGUCGCAGUGAAAAGGUGGCUGCGACUGUUUAACAAAAACACAGCACUCUGCAAACACGUCAAGUGGACGUAUAGGGUGUGACGCCUGCCCGGUGCCGGAAGGUUAAGUGAUGGGGUGCAAGCUCUUGAUCGAAGCCCCGGUAAACGGCGGCCGUAACAAUAACGGUCCUAAGGUAGCGAAAUUCCUUGUCGGGUAAGUUCCGACCUGCACGAAUGGCGUAACGAUGGCCACACUGUCUCCUCCUGAGACUCAGCGAAGUUGAAGUGUUUGUGAUGAUGCAAUCUCCCCGCUGCAAGACGGAAAGACCCCGUGCACCUUUACUGCAACUUUGCAUUGGACUUUGAUGAGAUUUGUGUAGGAUAGCUGGGAGACUUUGAAGUGGGGGCGCUAGCUCUCAUGGAGUCACCGUUGAAAUACCAGCCUGAUGUUAUUGAGGUUCUAACCUGGAUCCGUAAUCCGGAUCGGGGACCGUGCAUGGUGGGCAGUUUGACUGGGGCGGUCUCCUCCCAAAGAGUAACGGAGGAGUGCGACGGUACGCUUAGCGCGGUCGGCUAUCGCGCUGUAUGUGCAAUGGCAAAAGCGUGCUUAACUGCGAGACGGACAUGUCGAGCAGGUGCGAAAGCAGGUCAUAGUGAUCCGGUGGUUCUGUAUGGAAGGGCCAUCGCUCAACGGAUAAAAGGUACGCCGGGGAUAACAGGCUGAUUCCUCCCAAGAGUUCAUAUCGACGGGGGAGUUUGGCACCUCGAUGUCGGCUCAUCACAUCCUGGGGCUGUAGCCGGUCCCAAGGGUAUGGCUGUUCGCCAUUUAAAGUGGUACGUGAGCUGGGUUCAAAGCGUCGUGAGACAGUUUGGUCCCUAUCUGCAGUGGGCGUUGGAAGUUUGAGGGGGGCUGCUCCUAGUACGAGAGGACCGGAGUGGACGCAUCUCUGGUGUACCGGUUGUCACGCCAGUGGCAUCGCCGGGUAGCUAAAUGCGGAAGAGAUAAGCGCUGAAAGCAUCUAAGCGCGAAACUCGCCUCGAGAUGAGACUUCCCGGGAACUUGAUUCCCCUAAAGGGUCGCGGAAGACCACCGCGUUGAUAGGUCGGGUGUGUAAGAGCAGCAAUGCUUUGAGCUAACCGAUACUAAUUGCCCGUGAGGCUUGAUCCG
This 1254-nucleotide ribosomal RNA is filed under the name metagenome. Its description in RNAcentral is "bacterial LSU rRNA". It matches the Rfam family "Bacterial large subunit ribosomal RNA", at positions 1682 to 2925 of the family's 2925-position model. The record is from RNAcentral.